This 73-nucleotide transfer RNA is filed under the name Canis lupus familiaris (dog). It matches the Rfam family "tRNA". Rfam says of the family: Transfer RNA (tRNA) molecules are approximately 80 nucleotides in length. Their secondary structure includes four short double-helical elements and three loops (D, anti-codon, and T loops). RNAcentral also lists the same sequence under 1 other name. Lineage: Eukaryota; Metazoa; Chordata; Mammalia; Carnivora; Canidae. The record is from Rfam by way of RNAcentral.
ACGUGGCUGGCUCAGUCAGUAGAGCAUGAGACUCUUGAUCUCAGGGUUGUGAGUUCGAGCUCUACACUGCGUA